GACGAACGCUGGCGGCGUGCUUAACACAUGCAAGUCGAACGAAGAGCGAUGGACGCUUGCUUCUAUCAAUCUUAGUGGCGAACGGGUGAGUAACGCGUAAUCAACCUGCCCUUCAGAGGGGGACAACAGUUGGAAACGACUGCUAAUACCGCAUACGAUCUAAUCUCGGCAUCGAGGAUAGAUGAAAGGUGGCCUCUACAUGUAAGCUAUCACUGAAGGAGGGGAUUGCGUCUGAUUAGCUAGUUGGAGGGGUAACGGCCCACCAAGGCGAUGAUCAGUAGCCGGUAUGAGAGGAUGAACGGCCACAUUGGGACUGAGACACGGCACAGACUCCUACGGGAGGCAGCAGUGGGGAAUCUUCCGCAAUGGACGAAAGUCUGACGGAGCAACGCCGCGUGAGUGAUGACGGCCGUCGGGUUGUAAAGCUCGGUUAAUCGGGACGAAAGGCCUUCUUGCGAAUAGUGAGAAGGAUUGACGGUACCGGAAUAGAAAGCCACGGCUAACUACGUG
Molecule: ribosomal RNA, 510 nt
Filed under: uncultured bacterium
Lineage: Bacteria
Description: partial 16S ribosomal RNA
Rfam family: Bacterial small subunit ribosomal RNA
Source: RNAcentral